This is a non-coding RNA of Argiope bruennichi, 72 nucleotides long. NCBI's taxonomy places the organism in Eukaryota, Metazoa, Arthropoda, Arachnida, Araneae, Araneidae. The record is from the annotation of a RefSeq genome assembly.
GGUUCCGUAGUGUAGUGGUUAUCACGUUCGCUUUACACGCGAAAGGCCGCGCUUCGAUCCCGGGCGGAACCA